This is a long non-coding RNA of Macaca mulatta (Rhesus monkey), 4385 nucleotides long. NCBI's taxonomy places the organism in Eukaryota, Metazoa, Chordata, Mammalia, Primates, Cercopithecidae. The record is from Ensembl.
CCUUCUUUGUGGCCAGCCAGGGCUCAGUGCGGAGAGACAGAGAAGACCCAGGUGUCCCCUGGCCCAAUGCUUCCGGGAGGCGUCUCGGCCUUCCCACCUCUGAGAACAUUCAGGCCUUUGAGAUGUGGCCCCUGCCUGCCCCAGUCCCCCUGGCCCGACAAUGGGGGCUUCAGAGGAGACUGGAUGGCAGGACACAGCCCCUUCUGUGAAGCAGAGUCGACCGCCAAGCUGGAGGUCUUCGUGGAUUUAUCAGGGAGAAGCAUGGCUGAGUAAAGGAAUUCUGGCACCAUGUGACAACCAUCUUCCUCAUCAAGACUGGUGUCCUGGGAUGUGGCUAUCCCUGAUCUUCCGGCAGAAUGAGGAGAAAAGUCUGAACCAGGCAGUUCAGCUUCCCCCAGUAGCACUCCUCUCAGGCCAUGGAGAAUAGUAACAGCUAACAUUAACUGAGCUUUUGCUAGGGGCCAGAACUUUACGUGCAUUAUCUCAUUUAAUCCUUGUGCUAAGAGGUAAGUACCAUUGCUAUUGCCAAUACAGGAAACAGAAGCUUAGUGUGGUUAAGUGACUUGCUCAAUGGCUGGAAGAGGUGAAGUAACCCACCUCAAGGUUGUUCAGGUAGUUAGCAGUACAGCCAGGAUUUGAACCCAAGCAGUCUAAACCCCGACAUUCAUUUCACCAAAAACAGCAACCGGAGAGUAGAAUCCUGAUCCCUGCAACAGGUCAACUGAGCCAGGACCAAUUCAUUGCUUGAUUCCUACAAAGGAUUCUUGCUGAUGAAGGUAACAAGGAAGAUAGAAACAGGAGAUUGGUAACAGUGAAGAAGGUGUUGAUGAACAGGUGACUAGGAAAUUCCCACCUAGGAGUCAUUGAGUUGUUCAUUCAUUAAUGCAUCAUCCAUCUCAGGAGCUCUGCUGAGUGGCCAUAGAAUGUAAAGAACAUGAGCUCUGGAGCCUGCCAGACUGAAUUCAAAUUCCAGUUCUGCCAUGAUUUCCUGUGUGACCUUGGGCACGUUGCUUCACUUCUCUGAGCCUCAGACUUCUCACCAAUAAAAUGAAGAUAACAAAUCAUCUAUCUUAUAGGGCUGCUGUGAGAAUGCAUGUUAUAAUGCAUAGGAAGUGGUUUGUAUGGUGCCUAGUACAGAAUGAACACUCAGUGAAUAUUAGCUGUUAUUAUUAUUAUUACUUAUACUUCUGUCCAGGUGCUGGGCUAAGGUACUAGAGUUACACAGACGAAUGGGACUGCCUCUUUGAUUGAAGAAAUUAGUGGAAGAGAUAGAGAUAGACAGACACAAUGUAAUAGGUGCCGGGAGUGGGGCCUGUACAAAUAGCCGUUGGAACACUUACUGUGCCUGAAGGACUAAGGAGGGCGUCCCGGAGGAGGUGACCUUAUCUGAGACUUGAAGGAUAAAUAGGAACCUAUUAAACAGAUAGGAAAAGAAGAGAUAAAGCCGGCUGGGCACAGUGGCUCAGCCUGUAAUCCCAGCACUUUGGGAGGCCGAGGUGGGCGGAUCACGAGGUCAGAAGUUCGAGACCAGCCUGGCCAACAUAGUGAAACCCUGUCUCUACUAAAAAUACAAAACUUAACUGGGCAUGGUGGCGGGCGCCUGUAGUCCCAGCUACUUGGGAGGCUGAGGCAGGAGAAUUGCUUGAACCCAGGAAUCGGAGGUUGCAGUGAGCCAAGAUUGUGACACUGCACUCCAGCCCGGGCGACACAGCAAGAUUGUGUCUCAAAAAAAAAAAAAAAAGAGAGAGAGAGAUAAAGCCAUUCCAGCUAAGGGAACAACGAAUGCAAAAUGCUCUAGUGCGCAGGAGGUAUCCUUAAGGGAGCAGUAUGGGUUUUGGCAGCCAGGAGGUGCUAGGUCUGGUUCUAGCGUUGGGUGUUGGGUGGAGAUAGUGGCAGGAGUAAGGCUCUGUACCUUGGCGGGGCCUCCAUGCUCUUCUAAGGAAUCUGCAUUUUGUCUUAUAGACAGUUGGGAAGCGUUUUGGGUAAAGGCAAAGUGUGAAUUACAUAUAAGACACUCUCAGCUAACCAGAACUUGAGAAUUUAGAUUGGCUCCCUCUGGGCCUGGGAGAAACAGACCCAGCCAUCCCCCACAGGAUAUAAAUCCCAAGAAGCCAGAAUCUCAUCCUAAGAAGAAAGCGGGGGCAGGCAGGGUGAGCACCAGGGCCCUUCACUGCUCUAGCCUGACCAAAACCCUUGGAGACACAGAUCUGGAGUCUUGCCCAUGACAGUGCGGGGCUCUGCAGCAGUGAUUCUCAAACUUCAGCCCGCACUGGAAUCCCCUGGGGACCUUGUUAAAAGGCAGAUUCUGAUUCAGCAGUCUGGGGCGGGGCCUAGGAAUGUGCAUUUCCAACAAGCCAAGCCCUCCCUUCCUCACCAUGCCGGUGCUGCUGAUCCAGGAACCACACUUUGAGUGGUAAAGAUCUAGAACUGUGAUCUGCCAUCCUGGCAGUGCAUUCAAGUCGCCUAGGGGAGGUUUUGAAAAGAAAAAGAAGGAUGCCAGGGCCUCACCCCAGACCAAUUAAAUCAGAAUCUUUAGGGGUGGGGCCUGGGCAUCCAUAGCUUUGAAAGCUCCCAAGUGACUCUGAUGCAUGGGCAGGAUGUGAAAGGAGAACACUGCAGAAUGUGCUCGUUCAGGCUGGGGCAGGGGGCUCAGAACUCCCUUCCCAGCGGAUGAUCUAGAAAUAGAAUGCAGUGCACACAAGGUCCCAGCCCAUGCCCUGUGAACAGCAUUCCUGGUAACCCCAGGAGGGCAACCAAGGGGUAUCCAUAUCAGGAAGGGAAAGGGGCAGGAAGGGCAGCCUCCUCUCAACUCUGUCCUCACCAGCCUCUUGGAAGUGGCUUUGUCCAGUGUCUGAGCCACUAGGCUAAAUAUAGCCCGGGCUGGGGGCUGAAUUCAGGCUAUUGAAGCCUCUUGAUUGCCCCAGCCCAGCCUCAGAAUGCAGAGAGAGGCUGGGGAAGGGGAGGCUGGGAGAGAAGGGAGAAGGGGUGAGGAGUUGGGUAAGAGGCAGGGGGUAGUUUGCUUGGCCAGUUGGAAUGGGAAAUCUGAACAAGUUUAUUUUUUAAAAUGAGGGUGCAAUGUCAGGGGAAAAGAGAGAGAUAUUCCUUACCUAGUGCUGAACUAUGUCCCCUCAAAAUUUAUGUGAAAGUUCUAACCCACAGUGGGACAGUAUUUGGAGACAGGGCCUUUAAGGAGGUCAUUAAAGUUACAUGGGGUCAUUAGGGUGGGACCCUGAUGCCACAGGAUUAGUGCCUUUAUAAGAGGAAAAGACACUAGAGCAUUCUCUCCCAGCACCUCCCAGCUCCUCUUGCCCCCACAUCCCCAUUCUCCCUGCCCACUUCCACCUCUUAGCACAUGUACCAAGGAAGGGCCUUGUGGGGACAUAGCAAGAAGGCAGCCAGGAAGGGAGCCCUCACCAGACACUGAAUGGGCCGGAACCUUGGUCUUGGACUUCCAAUUUCCAGAACUGUGAGAAAAUCUAUUUCUGGUUUUUGUUAUUGUUAUUGUUUGUUGCUUUUUUUUGAGACGGAGUCUCACUCUGCCACCCAGGCUGGAGUGCAGUGGCGUAAUCUUGGCUCACUGCAACCUCCACCUCCUGGGUUCAAGAGAUUCUCCUGUCUCAGCCUCCCGAGUAACUGGGAGUAGCUGGGAUUACAGGCAUGUAGCACCAUGCCUGGCUAGUUUUUGUAUUUUUAGUAGAGACAGGAUUUUGGCAUAUUGCCCAGGCUGGUCUCAAACUCUUGACCUCAGGUGAUCUACCCACCUCAGCCUCCCAAAGUGCUGGGAUUACAGGCGUGAGCCACCGCACCGGGCCCAAUUUCUGUUGUUUAAGCCACCUAGUCAGUGGUGUUUUGGUGUGGCAGCCUGAGUCAACACACCUUGUAAGCAGAAUCUGCCCAUCCCUUAUCCUUUUAUCCAUGUCUCCCAGACCCAACGUCCCUUCCAGAAACUUCUUCAAAGGGGAGAUCCUGUGAUGGUUUUAUGUAUCAACUUGACUGGGUCAACUUGACUAUGUAUCUGGUUAAAUAUCUUAACCAGAUAUUUAGUUAAACAUUAUUUUUGGUGUAUCCGUGAGGGUGUUUCUGGGUAACAUUGACAUUUGUGUCAUGUCUAUAGACUGAUUAAAGCAGAUUGCCGUCCCCAGUGUGGGUGGGCCCCAUGCAGUCCAUCAGAGACCCGAAUGAAACAAACACGGAUAAGGAAGAAGUCACUCUUCUACCAGAAUGCUUGAACUAGGACAUUGGUCCUACUGUCCUUUGAUUGGAACCUACACCACCAGUGCUCUUGGUUCAGGCCUUUGGGCUUAGACUGGAACUAUACCACCAACUUGCUUUGGCCUUCAGUUUGUAGACAGCAGGUCAUGGGAAUUCUCAGCCUUUAUAAUCAC